AAGAACCCCGGGAGGGGAGUGAAAUAGUACCUGAAACCUUGUGCUUACAAGCAGUUACAGCCCGUUAAAGGGUGGUAGCGUACUUUUUGUAGAACGGUCCGGCGAGUUAUAGUCACUAGCGAGCUUAAGACAUUCAGUGUUGGAGGCGUAGGGAAACCGAGUCUGAACAGGGCGAAUGAAGUUAGUGGCCAUAGACCCGAAACCAUGUGACCUAGCCAUGAGCAGGAUGAAGUGGAGGUAAAGCUCCAUGGAGGUCCGAACGCACGUUCGUUGCAAUGACCGGCGAUGACUUGUGGCUAGCGGUGAAAUUCCAAUCGAACUUGGAGAUAGCUGGUUCUCCCCGAAAUAGCUUUAGGGCUAGCGUUGGGAAUGAGUUUAGCGGAGGUAAAGCACUGAAUGAGCUAGGGGGCGCAAGCUUACUGAACUCUAUCAAACUAAGAAUGCCGCAUAAAUGCUUCCCAGCAGUCAGACUGCGAGUAAUAAAAUCCGUGGUCAAAAGGGUAACAGCCCAGACCCACAGCUAAGGUCCCCAAUACAUGCUAAGUGGAAAACGAUGUGAGAUUGCAUAAACAACCAGGAUGUUGGCUUAGAGGCAGCCACUCGUUCAAAGAGUGCGUAAUAGCUCACUGGUCGAGUGAUCUUGCGCGGAAAAUUUAACGGGGCUAAGCAUGUAACCGAAGCUUGGGAUUGCGCAUUGCGCAGUGGUAGGGGAGCGUCGUGUAGGGGGUGAAGUACGAUCGAGAGGACGUGUGGACUGUACACGAGUGAGAAUGCCGGAAUGAGUAGCGAGAAUUAUGUGGGAAUCAUAAUGGCCGAAAAUCUAAGGUUUCUUGGGGAAGGUUCGUCCGCCCAAGGUAAGCCGGGAGCUAAGGCGAGGCCGAAAGGCGUAGUCGAUGCACAUACGGUUGAAAUUCCGUAGCCACCUUAUCGUUAAAAGCUGACACAUAGAGAUAGCCGAACCCGGGCGUUGGUUGACCCGGGCGAAAGGGACCGAACUACAGUAGGGAAGUCGGCGAUGCUCUGUGGCGAGAAAAGGCGAAGAUAGGGUGCCCGUACCGCAAACCGACACAGGUAGAUGAGGAGAGAAUCCUAAGGCCAACGGGAGAAGGGUUGUUAAGGAACUCGGCAAAUUGACCCCGUAACUUCGGGAGAAGGGGUGCCCGCGCAAGCCGGCCGCAGAGAAUAGGCCCAAGCAACUGUUUACCAAAAACACAGGUCUCUGCUAAAUCGAAAGAUGACGUAUAGGGGCUGACGCCUGCCCGGUGCUGGAAGGUUAAGAGGAGGACUUAGCGCAAGCGAAGGUCUGAAUUUAAGCCCCAGUAAACGGCGGCCGUAACUAUAACGGUCCUAAGGUAGCGAAAUUCCUUGUCAGGUAAGUUCUGACCCGCACGAAUGGCGUAACGAUUUGGGCACUGUCUCAACAGCCUACCCGGCGAAAUUGUAGUACCGGUGAAGAUGCCGGUUACCCGCAACUAGACGGAAAGACCCCAUGGAGCUUUACUGCAGCUUAAUACUGAGAUUCGGUAAUUCAUGUACAGGAUAGGUGGGAGACUUAGAAACAGGGUCGUCAGGCACUGCGGAGUCACCCUUGGGAUACCACCCUUGGAUUGCUGGGUUUCUAACCUGCGGCCAUGAAUCUGGUCGGGGGACACUGUUAGGCGGGCAGUUUGACUGGGGCGGUCGCCUCCUAAAAAGUAGCGGAGGCGCUCAAAGCUUGGCUCAGCAUGGAUGGAAAUCAUGCAAUGAGUGUAAACGUAUAAGCCAAGUUGACUGCGAGACCGACGGGUCGAGCAGGUACGAAAGUAGGAGUUAGUGAUCCGGUGGUAUGUGAGUGGAAAUGCCAUCGCUCAACGGAUAAAA
This 1860-nucleotide ribosomal RNA is filed under the name human gut metagenome. Its description in RNAcentral is "bacterial LSU rRNA". It matches the Rfam family "Bacterial large subunit ribosomal RNA", at positions 519 to 2461 of the family's 2925-position model. The record is from RNAcentral.